This 301-nucleotide ribosomal RNA is filed under the name uncultured bacterium. Its description in RNAcentral is "partial 16S ribosomal RNA". It matches the Rfam family "Bacterial small subunit ribosomal RNA", at positions 509 to 807 of the family's 1533-position model. The record is from RNAcentral.
CAGCAGCCGCGGGAAAACGGAGGGAGCUAGCGUUGUUCGGAAUUACUGGGCGUAAAGCGCGCGUAGGCGGUUACUCAAGUCAGAGGUGAAAGCCCGGGGCUCAACCCCGGAACUGCCUUUGAAACUAGGUGACUAGAAUCUUGGAGAGGUCAGUGGAAUUCCGAGUGUAGAGGUGAAAUUCGUAGAUAUUCGGAAGAACACCAGUGGCGAAGGCGACUGACUGGACAAGUAUUGACGCUGAGGUGCGAAAGCGUGGGGAGCGAACAGGAUUAGAUACCCCCGUAGUCCCUGUCUCUUAUAC